AAACUACUUCUUAAAGUACCGCCCCCCUCUCCCCCCCAAAAUAUAUAUAUAUCCAUAAGUAAAUGUAACUAUUUACUUUCCAACUCUUGGCCCAAAUCUACAGACGAAUAUGGGUCAGAGGUCAUGAUUCUGCAAUCAGGAGAGCCAGUCUCAGAUUAACCAAAAGCUUCUUAAUGAUCCUGAAGAUUUCAGGAAAGUGAAGUUUUUGGUAGAAUAGAGCAGAAAUGUCCAUCAUUGUCCCACAGUGACAUAAACUGAAUAAUAAGAGACUGGACAGCUAAUGCUAACUUGACAUGUGACGGUAGUAACCAGGGUUUAGAUUCCCACUUCCUGCUUUGGUUUGAAUCCUCGGAGUUCAGGCCACAAAAAGCGGAAGUGGAUCGAUGACUCGGGAAGGGAGGCGGCGGUCCGGUCCGGCUUACUGUGGGCAGUCGGCUCGGUUCGAUUAAUGAUCCUGACCAACACUUCCUUCUCCCGCGCGGGACCGUGGGGCAAUUAUUGUUUUUAUGUAAGAGAGGAGUUUAAAAAUUACACCAUCGUUUGUUUUGCAACGGCUGCGGGCGCGUCUGCAAGCGAUGACGUCACGUCCUGGAAGUUCAGAGAAGUGGAUGAAGAAACGGAGCUGAAAAGACGAAAUCUCCCUCGUUUAGUCACAAAAUGUUUCUGGAUGAGCGAACAGGAGUCUGAAGUUCUGCCGUUUCCAUGAAUCCACAACGAAACUCCAGAAACGGCUAACCGGGUCUGGAGGAAGUGGGACCAAACCGACAACAGGUUGAGGUUUACAGUAAUCAGAAUCUACAACCGCCGAUGAAACCUCAGUGAAGUCUCAAUGACAACGGCGUGGCGGGGGCGUUGCAGACGGACGGAAAGGAGGAAAUUUCCAUCAACACAAUAAAUACCAGAUUCUUCUGAGAACAUUUCUAGUUUCAAAAGUUAAAAAUAUUUCACUUUUCACAUUCAGAAAUGUCCACAUUUUUUUCUGGAUAUUUUGAGAUUAAUCUCACAGUUUGAGUUUCUUCUUGCAAAUUUUUAA
Long non-coding RNA from Gambusia affinis (western mosquitofish), 1033 nucleotides. RefSeq lists it as uncharacterized. The record is from RefSeq and is a predicted model, not a curated record. Lineage: Eukaryota; Metazoa; Chordata; Actinopteri; Cyprinodontiformes; Poeciliidae. The transcript has 3 exons.